This 334-nucleotide unclassified non-coding RNA is filed under the name soil metagenome. Its description in RNAcentral is "partial contains 5.8S ribosomal RNA, internal transcribed spacer 2, and large subunit ribosomal RNA". The stretch from base 1 to 121 matches the Rfam family "5.8S ribosomal RNA", at positions 35 to 154 of the family's 154-position model. The record is from RNAcentral.
GAUGAAGAACGCAGCGAAAUGCGAUAAGUAAUGCGAAUUGCAGAAUUUCCGUGAGUCAUCGAAUCUUUGAACGCACAUUGCGCCCUCCAGCAUUCUGGAGGGCAUGCCUGUCCGAGCGUCAUUUCAACCAUCAAGCCCCAGGCUUGUGUUGGAGAUCUGUGGGCUGCCCGCAGGCUCUCAAAGACCGUGGCGGCCACUUCGAUAUGAUCCGGGCGUAGUAAAUUCUCUCGUCUGGGAUGCACGAAGGGCUGGCCGUUAAACAUCAUAAUUCCAAGGUUGACCUCGGAUCAGGUAGGAAUACCCGCUGAACUUAAGCAUAUCAAUAAGCGGAGGA